Molecule: ribosomal RNA, 2891 nt
Filed under: Vibrio parahaemolyticus
Lineage: Bacteria; Pseudomonadati; Pseudomonadota; Gammaproteobacteria; Vibrionales; Vibrionaceae
Description: 23S ribosomal RNA
Rfam family: Bacterial large subunit ribosomal RNA
Source: RNAcentral
GGUUAAGUGACUAAGCGUACACGGUGGAUGCCUUGGCAGUCAGAGGCGAUGAAAGACGUAGUAACUUGCGAUAAGCCCAGAUUAGGUAGUAACAACCAUUUGAGUCUGGGAUUUCUGAAUGGGGAAACCCACGUGCAUAAGCACGUAUCCUUACCUGAAUACAUAGGGUAAGGAGGCGAACCGGGGGAACUGAAACAUCUAAGUACCCCGAGGAAAAGAAAUCAACCGAGAUUCCGAAAGUAGCGGCGAGCGAAAUUGGACUAGCCCUUAAGCUUUACACGCGUUAGACGAACGGUCUGGAAAGUCCGACGAUACAGGGUGAUAGUCCCGUAGUUGACGACGUGUGUUCAGUGAAAUCGAGUAGGGCGGGACACGUGAUAUCCUGUCUGAAUAUGGGGGGACCAUCCUCCAAGGCUAAAUACUACUGACUGACCGAUAGUGAACCAGUACCGUGAGGGAAAGGCGAAAAGAACCCCUGUGAGGGGAGUGAAAUAGAACCUGAAACCGUGUACGUACAAGCAGUAGGAGCAGGCUUUGUCCUGUGACUGCGUACCUUUUGUAUAAUGGGUCAGCGACUUAUAUUCAGUGGCAAGGUUAACCAUCUAGGGGAGCCGUAGGGAAACCGAGUCUUAACUGGGCGUUCAGUCUCUGGAUAUAGACCCGAAACCAGGUGAUCUAGCCAUGGGCAGGUUGAAGGUUGAGUAACAUCAACUGGAGGACCGAACCGACUAAUGUUGAAAAAUUAGCGGAUGACUUGUGGCUAGGGGUGAAAGGCCAAUCAAACCUGGAGAUAGCUGGUUCUCCCCGAAAGCUAUUUAGGUAGCGCCUCGGACGAAUACUACUGGGGGUAGAGCACUGUUAAGGCUAGGGGGUCAUCCCGACUUACCAACCCUUUGCAAACUCCGAAUACCAGUAAGUACUAUCCGGGAGACACACGGCGGGUGCUAACGUCCGUCGUGGAGAGGGAAACAACCCAGACCGCCAGCUAAGGUCCCAAAUUACUACUAAGUGGGAAACGAUGUGGGAAGGCUCAGACAGCCAGGAUGUUGGCUUAGAAGCAGCCAUCAUUUAAAGAAAGCGUAAUAGCUCACUGGUCGAGUCGGCCUGCGCGGAAGAUGUAACGGGGCUAAGUAGUAAACCGAAGCUGCGGCAAUGUGCUUUUGCACAUUGGGUAGGGGAGCGUUCUGUAAGCGGUUGAAGGUGUGUGGUAACGCAUGCUGGACGUAUCAGAAGUGCGAAUGCUGACAUGAGUAACGAUAAAGGGGGUGAAAAACCUCCUCGCCGGAAGACCAAGGGUUCCUGUCCAACGUUAAUCGGGGCAGGGUAAGUCGACCCCUAAGGCGAGGCCGAAAGGCGUAGUCGAUGGGAAACGGGUUAAUAUUCCCGUACUUCUUACAAUUGCGAUGGGGGGACGGAGAAGGCUAGGUGGGCCUGGCGACGGUUGUCCAGGUUCAAGUGCGUAGGCUUAAGAGUUAGGUAAAUCCGGCUCUUUUUAAGGCUGAGACACGACGUCGAGCACCUACGGGUGUGAAGUCAUUGAUGCCAUGCUUCCAGGAAAAGCCUCUAAGCUUCAGAUUGUAAGGAAUCGUACCCCAAACCGACACAGGUGGUCGGGUAGAGAAUACCAAGGCGCUUGAGAGAACUCGGGUGAAGGAACUAGGCAAAAUGGUACCGUAACUUCGGGAGAAGGUACGCUCUUGAUGGUGAAGUCCCUCGCGGAUGGAGCUGACGAGAGUCGCAGAUACCAGGUGGCUGCAACUGUUUAUUAAAAACACAGCACUGUGCAAAAUCGUAAGAUGACGUAUACGGUGUGACGCCUGCCCGGUGCCGGAAGGUUAAUUGAUGGGGUUAGACUUCGGUCGAAGCUCUUGAUCGAAGCCCCGGUAAACGGCGGCCGUAACUAUAACGGUCCUAAGGUAGCGAAAUUCCUUGUCGGGUAAGUUCCGACCUGCACGAAUGGCGUAAUGAUGGCCACGCUGUCUCCACCCGAGACUCAGUGAAAUUGAAAUCGCUGUGAAGAUGCAGUGUACCCGCGGCUAGACGGAAAGACCCCGUGAACCUUUACUACAGCUUGGCACUGAACAUUGACCCUACAUGUGUAGGAUAGGUGGGAGGCUUUGAAGCACGUACGCCAGUAUGUGUGGAGCCGUCCUUGAAAUACCACCCUUGUAGUGUUGAUGUUCUAACGUCGACCCCUUAUCGGGGUUGCGGACAGUGCCUGGUGGGUAGUUUGACUGGGGCGGUCUCCUCCCAAAGAGUAACGGAGGAGCACGAAGGUGGGCUAAUCACGGUUGGACAUCGUGAGGUUAGUGCAAUGGCAUAAGCCCGCUUGACUGCGAGAAUGACAAUUCGAGCAGGUGCGAAAGCAGGUCAUAGUGAUCCGGUGGUUCUGAAUGGAAGGGCCAUCGCUCAACGGAUAAAAGGUACUCCGGGGAUAACAGGCUGAUACCGCCCAAGAGUUCAUAUCGACGGCGGUGUUUGGCACCUCGAUGUCGGCUCAUCACAUCCUGGGGCUGAAGUCGGUCCCAAGGGUAUGGCUGUUCGCCAUUUAAAGUGGUACGCGAGCUGGGUUUAGAACGUCGUGAGACAGUUCGGUCCCUAUCUGCCGUGGGCGUUGGAAGAUUGAAGGGGGCUGCUCCUAGUACGAGAGGACCGGAGUGGACGAACCUCUGGUGUUCGGGUUGUGUCGCCAGACGCAUUGCCCGGUAGCUAAGUUCGGAAUCGAUAACCGCUGAAAGCAUCUAAGCGGGAAGCGAGCCCUGAGAUGAGUCUUCCCUGAUACUUUAAGUAUCCUAAAGGGUUGUCGGAGACUACGACGUUGAUAGGUCAGGUGUGUAAGUGCUGUGAGGCAUUGAGCUAACUGAUACUAAUUGCCCGUGAGGCUUAACCAU